Molecule: long non-coding RNA, 549 nt
Organism: Lolium rigidum
Lineage: Eukaryota; Viridiplantae; Streptophyta; Magnoliopsida; Poales; Poaceae
Exons: 3
Source: RefSeq, a predicted model, not a curated record
CUGAGUACUUCCACGUGGUGCCCGGCAGCUGAUGGAUCUAUAUCGAACUUUCUACCUGGGCCGUGUAGCCUCAUUCAUCAUAUCUUCACAUGUUGCUAUCGUGGUCUUUGGAACAAAGGAGCAAUCUCUUUUCAGGUUAAGGGUAAUCGUUCGUGGAAUGUGAAGAGGAAGUGGCGAUACGGGGCAUGAAUGAUUCGUGUACUGUGGAGGUUAUGGACGCCUCAAUUCUGCAUAUAUCCAAGCACCAAAAGGAGAGGGUCUUAUUUUCAUUGGUCUAUCUUUAUUCCUACAAAACACCUGUUGGUGUCGAUGAUCUUGCUUGAGCUCAUGCCAAAUGUCCGAUUGUACAAAUGGUUAAGAUUGAGAUGUGAUUGUUCACCGCCUAGUUAAAUCUGUUUUGCGAAAUUGCAUUGAUCUAUCGUGAAUUUUCCCAGAAUCACCUCAGUUUGAUAAAGUUAUUAGUCUCGUCUGCAUAUUAUAUGAAACUGUUACCACAAAAAAUAUGUAGACAAUCUAGCAAAAAGACUGUUUUGCUCGGUACUGACAGAU